RNAcentral lists this unclassified non-coding RNA (304 nucleotides) under uncultured fungus. RNAcentral's name for it is "partial contains small subunit ribosomal RNA, internal transcribed spacer 1, and 5.8S ribosomal RNA". The stretch from base 1 to 73 matches the Rfam family "Eukaryotic small subunit ribosomal RNA", at positions 1759 to 1831 of the family's 1831-position model. The record is from RNAcentral. Lineage: Eukaryota; Fungi.
GCAAACUUGGUCAUUUAGAGGAAGUAAAAGUCGUAACAAGGUUUCCGUAGGUGAACCUGCGGAAGGAUCAUUAACACUAAUGCCAUCCAAAACCUUUUGGAUCAACCCAACCUUGAGCGAACCGUUCGAUACCUUUUUUUCCUUGCCUUUUUGAUUCAAACGCAACCUUGUCUGAGUAAAGUGUCUGAUUCUUAUUCUCGAGGCCACAUCCCUUUUGCGGGUAUGGUUUUCGGGAAUCAAAAUCUAACGCAAUACAACUCUUAACAACGGAUAUCUUGGCUCUCGCAUCGAUGAAGAACGCAGC